UGUGGACAAGGCCAGUGGCAAUGUGGAGC
This 29-nucleotide non-coding RNA is filed under the name Mus musculus (house mouse). Lineage: Eukaryota; Metazoa; Chordata; Mammalia; Rodentia; Muridae. The record is from RNAcentral.